Phascolarctos cinereus (koala) is the source of this 1906-nucleotide RNA transcript. It is a transcript of the gene named MYST/Esa1 associated factor 6, with no coding region annotated. The record is from RefSeq and is a predicted model, not a curated record. Lineage: Eukaryota; Metazoa; Chordata; Mammalia; Diprotodontia; Phascolarctidae.
UCUACCCUUUUUUGCCUCCCUCCCCAGCCCGUUUCUCGCGCUGCCUCCUCCCCCACUCGCCCGGGACGCCAGUGCGCAGGCGCAGUGGCGGCAGCGGCGCCCCCUGGCGGCUGAGGGGCGGGGGCGCGGCGGGGCCGCCUCCCUCGCUCGCUCCCUCCCCGGCUCGCUCCCUGCCUCCUUCCUCGCGCCUCGGCCCAACAUGGCGAUGCACAACAAGGCGGCGCCGCCGCAGAUCCCGGACACCCGGCGGGAAUUGGCCGAGCUGGUGAAGCGCAAGCAGGAGCUGGCGGAGACGCUGGCAAACUUGGAGAGGCAGAUCUAUGCUUUUGAAGGGAGCUACCUGGAAGAUACCCAGAUGUAUGGCAAUAUUAUUCGGGGCUGGGACCGCUAUCUGACAAAUCAAAAAAACUCCAAUAGCAAAAAUGAUCGUAGGAACCGAAAAUUUAAGGAAGCCGAGCGACUCUUCAGUAAAUCCUCAGUUACUUCAGCAGCUGUAAGUGGGGCAGUCAGUGCAUUGGCUGGAGUUCAGGACCAACUCAUUGAAAAAAGGGAGCCAGGCAGUGGUACAGAGAGUGACACAUCUCCAGACUUUCACAAUCAGGAGAAUGAACCCAGCCAGGAGGACACAGAGGAUCUGGAUGGAUCUGUGCAGGGGGUGAAACCCCAGAAGGCUGCUUCCUCCACCUCUUCAGGGAGUCAUCACAGCAGCCAUAAAAAGAGGAAGAACAAAAACCGACACAGCCCGUCUGGCAUGUUUGAUUAUGACUUUGAGUAUGUAUAUUAGGUUAGGCUGGGAAGUUUUUUUAAAAAACAGAAAAACGUGAUGGAGGAUUGAUCUGAAGCUAAACAAAAAGCCAAGAGCCGAUUAUUAGAAGACCCAUUAGUACAGAAGCUUACAGGCAGUAGAGCCCUGCCCUCAUACAACUUCACCAAGAUAAAUACACCUCCACUGAGUGGCCAUUAAUGUCUGCGCUCCCAGACCCAGUGCCUGCAUUGAGGAGUAGUUUGUUCUAAAAAGGGGUGAAAGAAAAUCCUUUCUGUAAAACCACAUCAGACCAUUUACCUCGUGUCAUUUUUAGUAACUGAACUGCAGGAAGACCAAGGCAUGGUGCAGUCCUAGGUUGCCUACUUUCUGCAUUUCUCCAUUCUUGGGAUUGAGUACUUCCCAGCACUGGCUGCUCUGGCUGCAUCAGAUUCUUCUGUGAUACCCAUCAAGAGAUGUCUUGGGGUUUGUUUUUUGUUUUUUUGAUGCUGAAACCAGCGCCCAGUUGUGUUUUGUCAUAUGGAGGCUGUAAAUAUCAGGCAUUUCCUUAUUCUGCCUUAUGUGUUGUUUGUUGUUACUGUCUUGUUUUCUUUGAGGGGUUUGUUGUAAUAUGCUUGUACAGCUUAUGGCUUCCUGCUGUUUUCUUUGGAAUCUGAUUAUCUUUACUUGGCUUAGAGGCUGAUAUCCUAACACAAAUAAUCCCUAGUAGCAUAAAUAAAGUGGAUGACUUGUCCUAUUUGUCUUUUUGCAGGGGGAAGGUAGAGGGUUAUUUAAUUUUUUUCCCAUCUUCUGAGUUGGAAGCAAUUUCAUGUACAGGAAAAUGGUAAUAGCUAAAAAACAUAAGUUUGAAUCCUUUUAAAAACCCAAGUUUUUAUUAUUUUGUAUAAAAAAUAAAAUUUCACAGGCUUCAGUCUCUCUUCUCAUGCUUUACUUUUGCAUUUGAGAUUUUUUUCCCAUUGAUUUUUAUUUUCCUCAUUUCAUACCAUACAGAAAAUAUCUGGUGUUUGACACUCAUCUCUCUUUUCAUCUUGUCUGUAAUCCUUCAGUUGGCAUUUACCCAAUUCCACAAAGAUCCAUUUUUAAGUUUCUCUCUGCACUUCCAUAAGAUGUAAGGAAGAAUUAAAGAAUUCCAUAGAUAAAUGA